This is a long non-coding RNA of Balaenoptera acutorostrata (minke whale), 835 nucleotides long. RefSeq lists it as uncharacterized. The transcript is spliced from 3 exons. Lineage: Eukaryota; Metazoa; Chordata; Mammalia; Artiodactyla; Balaenopteridae. The record is from RefSeq and is a predicted model, not a curated record.
CCGCCGGAGGGGGCGGGCGGGUCACUCACCCUCAUCCUGCUCAGCGGGCUCGGCUCGUCCGGCCGCGGGGAUAGAGAGGACCAGAGGACCACCAGCACCAGGAAGCUGCCCACCACCAGCAAACUGCUGUUUGGAGCAUGUAUCGUGUGCUAGCCAUUGUUUUAAAUGAUGGGAAACAGCAGUAAACUAGAGGAGCAGAAAUCCUUGUGGUCAUGGAGUCAGACAAUAAACAAGAAAACAAAAAUCUUCAGCACAAAUCCCAUCUACAGAGACUGGAGAGUCUCGGAGGACAGGAGCUGACUGAUGAACAUUCACGCUCAUUGUGGGGCACAGACUUUGAGAACAAGCCUUUUCCUGAGUACCGAGGACCAUAGACACGUUGGCUGAGCUGUUUGUUACUCUUACCAGUUGGAUGUGGCUGAGUUUCCAUUACAUAUAUCGUCCCACCAUGUGAUUCAUCCAGCGGGUGUAUUUUAAUUAUUGAACCAAGACGUGAGUAACUGGAAAGGAGGAAACCUAAGAAGAAACACCAGUUCUUCUGCGUCGACCUACAGGUCAGGAACUAGGAAGUACUUUUGUUUUUUCUUUUGACGUCUAAAAAGAAAUAUUCUUACAUCUCCAAGAGAAAGAGCAAGAAAACAGAGGGAUGAAACACUCCUGAUCAAGGACCUGUAGUCGAUGUCCCAUUUACCCCGUGUGUCACCUGCUUGAGCCCUAACCCCUACUAUCCACCACUCCAGUUACCCUGAUCUUUCCUGUUCUUAGGGUAUGAUUUAAACAGCCUGUUCUCCUCUUUUUGGAAGUUGGAUACAAAUGAUAAAUAAUAAAUGGUGAA